Molecule: long non-coding RNA, 8619 nt
Filed under: Panax ginseng (ginseng)
Lineage: Eukaryota; Viridiplantae; Streptophyta; Magnoliopsida; Apiales; Araliaceae
Description: long non-coding RNA (PGIN_LNC017070)
Source: RNAcentral
UAUAUGUGACAUGUGGUCACGGGUGGUGUUAGUGGAAUGAUGAAAGUUGUCCUGGGAGAGUUUUUUUUUUCCAAAGAUGAUUCACGGGUGGUUGAAGUUUUUCUUUUCAAGCAUGUGUUAUAUAAUACAUUUAUAUAUUAUAUUUCUUUGGUUUUGUUUUAUUAAAGAAUUCAAUCGGAAAAUGAAUUCCGUGACUUACAUUUUGAAUCCGUGAGUUUUUUUCUUCUUCACAGUACUCCUUCCAUUCUCCUAUAAAUAGGAUGCUUAGUUAGAAUUGAAAUCACACCAGAAAUUUAGUGAAUUCUCUUCUACAAUCUUGAGCGUAUUUCUUUAGAGUUUUAAAAUGCUUUGAGUGUAGUGCAAGUUUUCUUCAAGAAUAUCCUCGCCCUACCAGUCGAAAUACUCUUCUUUUACGGUAAGGGGUAUUAUUUCUUUCGUAUUCAUGAAGAGAACUCUGUUAUUCCAUUCUUUAUUAUUCUGUUGGAAUAACCUGUAUACGCGGACUACCCUAUACUUGGUGAAAUUCUUCUGUUAUUCCAUUCUUUAUUAUUAUGUUAGAAUAACCUGUAUAUACGAAGUACCGCAUACAUGGUGAAAUUCUUCUGUUAUUCCAUUCUUUAUUAUUCUGUUGGAACAUCAUGUCUGUUCGUUUACGCAUAACCUGGUUUCGUUAUUUAUUAUUCAGUUGGAACAUCCUGUCGGUGCAAAUUUUGCCAGACUUGGUUCCGUUAUUUAUUAUUCUGUUGGAAUAUCCUGUCUGUACGUUUACGCAUGACCUGGUUCUGUUAUUUAUUAUUCUGUUGGACUAACCUGUUUGUGCGGUUUAUCGCAAGCCUGGUGAUUUCUUUUGUUAUUCCAUUCUUUAUUAUACUCAGUUGGUUAAAGUUUUGACCUUUAUACUCCAUGAAAUUAAUGGAAUAUCCUUGAUAUUUGAGCUUCAUCCAGUAUCUUCUCAUGGAAAUAUUCUUAUGAGCAUUCUUGAGUUUUACCCUACAAAGCAGUAUCAUGUUGACAAUUUGGACGUUAUUGGUUCCUGGAUAAAUUAAUUCUUGAACUUGUUUUAUUGAAUUCUUAUAUCAUUGUCAUCAUCCUCAUGUUUAUAUUAUGUUGAAAGUCAUCUGUGGCCUGUAGUGCAUAGAUGGACUUGGUAUGAUUAUGACCAGGGAUUAUUCGGUAUAAUCAUGACCGUAAUGUUACAAAUGAUAUGGUAAAAGUCCUCAUUGGCCCGUAGUGCAUUGAUGGACAGUUGUUGGCAUGAUCAUGACCAUUGAUGAAUAUACGAAUAUCCUUGGCCCGUAGUGCAUGGAUAAUUUGUGGUCGUGAUACUAAUGGAUAUCCUUGGCCGUAGUGCAGGGAUGACGUGGAUUAUUUAUCAAGUUGAGUCUCAGCGAUAAAAGUGAUGAAAAACCUUUUUAAAUCAUAAAAGAUAGUAGAUUUUAUUCUCUACAUGACUCUUUUAAUGGAUUGCUUGUUCCGCUGCAGUUAAACUUGAUGUUUGUAAUAUUUUAUCAGUUUAACACUGUUGAAGGCUAACGAUAAUUUAUUCUGCAUUAUCUUAGUCAUAAUAUUUCUUACUGGGCUAGUUGAGCUCACCCUUUCUUUCACUAUUCUCUUCAGGAAAUGAGAACGUAGCCGGGACUAGUCGGGAUAUGGAGUGACGGUCCAGAUGAUAGUAUUAGUAGUCCUCACUAUUCUGUUAAAUAGUGUGACAAUAAAUGUAAUGAGGAAUCCAUUGAGUGUGGAUAUUGUCUAGAUGACAAUAUUCUUAUUAAAACACUUAGAUUAUGUUUUGUCGUAUUUUACACGAUGGUUGUAUAAUUAAGUUUGUAUUUGUUUUCUAUACCAUGUAUUUGGCGACUCAAGAUGGGUGGUGUAUACCUAUUUUGGGGGCUUCACAAUUGGUAUCAAAGCUUAGGAAUAUGAUCCCUGGCUGAGAUGUGAGACAAGAACUAGUAGGGGAGAGACGGGGAAUUCCUUCGCUAGUAUGACCUACCUAAGUUUAUUUGGUAUUUAAUUGGUCAGUCAGAGUAUAGGGAUAAUAUGUGAUAUGUUAAUUAACCCUUGUUUUGUGGCAGUAUUUGAAAAUGGCAUUCGAGAAUGUUGAGAAUAGCAAUGGAGCACAGGAGACCGUUGAGUCUCUACGGAUCAAUAAUCAGGACAACGUGCAUCAGAAAGGCGACAAUCCUCAUGCAAACAACAACACUGAUCAAAUAAUGAAUGAUGGAAUGUUCAGAGGCUUUCUACAAUGCAUGCAGCAUCAGGCAAGAGAGACUCCUGUCCGAAAUGCAGGUGGAAACACUGGCAACUCUCGGACGGUCACUGCUAAGCAGUUCAAGGAGCUGGGACCACCGGAGUUUUUUGGAGAGCUAAAAUCACUUAAGGCGGAGACGUGGAUAAAACAGAUCAACAAGAUAUUUGAUGUCUUGGGAUGCUCCGAGGAGCAAAAGGUUCCCUUUGCCACCUUCAUGUUGCGGGCAGAGGCAGAUUACUGAUGGAAAUCUGUAAAGCGUACUCAACCUGCCGCAUUGAAGAUGUCUUGGGAGAAGUUCCAAGAACUGUUCAACUAAAAAGUACUUUUCUGAAAGUAUUCGUCACAUGAAAGAGGUAGAGUUCAUUAAACUGGAACAAAACAACAUGACCGUGUCGCAGUACGAAGCCAAGUUUGCCGAGCUGUCCCGGUUUGCGUCCCAUCUGGUUGAUAAUGAGGAGAGAAUGACACGGAUGUUUCUAAGAUGUUUGAAACCCGAGAUACGUCAAUACUUCAUUUCUCAUAAACUUUUCUUGUAUUUAGAUGUUGUUAAUAGGGCUUAGUUGUUGGAGUGCGAUAAUGAGUCAACCCAACCAAAAGAGAGCAGCCGACAAAAUGAUAAUACCAGUGAUAGUAGUCAUUGAAGCGGUGACAACAAGCGUGGAGGGAAUCAUCAUGCCAGAAUUAGUAACCACUUCGGUGGUAAUCAUGGUCAAAAUAAUAAGAGUGGACAUUUCAAGAAGAGGAGAUUCAACAAUGAUGGAAAGACGUCAGCAUCAGCACCCGUCGUUAAGGAAGGAGAACGACCACCUAUCAUAUGCUUCAAAUGUGGAGGGGAGGGACACAUCAGUCCAAACUGUGCGAUGCCAUCUAAAGCUUGUUACAAUUGUGGAAGAGAAGGCCACCUGGCUCGAUUUUAUCAUGCAUAGAAGACAAGUCCAGCUGGGAUGGAGGCAUCAAAGGCCGUCCCAAACAAGACAAAACUGGUAUUUCAAGGGAGAGCGUUUGUCGUGACCUCCCAGAAAGUAAGGAACCCGAACGAGGUCAUUACGGGUAAGCUUAUCAUAAACUCUAGAGAAGUAUAUACCUUAUUUGAUACCAGUUCUACCCAUUCUUUUAUUUCUCCUAAUUGCGCUCAACGUUUAAAUUUGACUCCGGAGAAAUUAGACUUUGACUUAUCUGUUGAAACUCCGUUGGGAGAAACCUUCAUUAAAUCCACUAUUUAUAAGUCUUGUUUGGUUCAAAUCGGUACCCUCACAUUACCUGUCGAUCUUAUUUCAUUGAAAAUACUUGCAUUUGACGUAAUUCUAGGGAUUGAUUGGUUAACUACUCAUCAUGCAAAAAUUGAUUAUUUUCGUAAGGUUGUUAGCUUUCUUAUUCCUAAGCAACCUAUUAUGCGAAUUCAAGCAACCAAACCAUUAAAAUCAAUCACCGUCAUCUCAAGCCAUAAAGCUAUUCGUUUAUUAAAAAACGGAUGUCAAGCUUUCUUAGCUGAUGUCACGGAUCUAAACAAAAAUACGUCGGUUUUGAAUGAUAUUUCUAUUGUUAAUGAAUUUCCUGACGUAUUCCCUGAAGAACUCCCUGGACUACCCCUAGAGCGUGAAAUUGAAUUUUGUAUCGACCUUGAACCUGGUACAAAACCUAUUUCCAAAGCCCCAUAUCGAAUGGCUCCUAUUGAACUUCAUGAGUUAAAGACCCAACUGCAGGAAUUGUUAGACAUCGGUUUCAUUCGUCCUAGUACUUCUCCUUGGGGUGCUCCUGUUCUAUUCAUGAAGAAGAAAGAUGGGAGUAUGCGACUUUGUAUUGAUUAUCGGGAGUUGAAUCAUGUCACCAUCAAAAAUAGGUACCCAUUUCCACGUAUUGAUGACCUGUUUGACCAGUUGCAAGGCGCCAAAUUCUUUUCAAAGAUUGAUCUUCAUUCUGGAUAUUACCAAUUGAAGAUUAGAAUCGAUGACAUUCCAAAGACGGAUUUCAGAACUCAGUAUGGGCAUUAUGAAUUCCUAGUCAUGUCUUUUGGAUUGACUAAUGCUCCUGCUGUCUUCGUGGAUAUGAUGAACCGAGUAUUCAAGGAAUAUUUGGAUCACUUUGUGGUCGUCUUUAUUGAUGACAUCCUCAUAUAUUCCAAAAGCCGUGAAGAUCAUGAGCAACACUUGAGGCUGAUACUCCAAAAGCUUCGUGAAAAUAAGCUUUAUGCCAAGUUGAAGAAAUAUGAGUUCUGGCUUGAGCAAGUAGCAUUCCUUGGGCACGUGGUAUCAAGUUAUGGAAUAUCUGUUGACCCGGCAAAGAUUGAAGAUAUUCAAAGUGGGAACAACCUAAAUUAGUGACCGAAGUACGUAGCUUUCUCGGCUUAGCUGGUCAUUAUUGGAGAUUCGUAGAAGAGUUUUCUCGAAUCGCUACUCCAUUAACUCAGCUGACUCGAAAAGAUACAAAUUUUGGUUGGAGUGAGGAAUCCGAGAAGAGUUUUCAAGAACUCAAGAGAAGACUCAUUUCAGCACCUGUUCUGACAAUACCAUCUGGUUCGGAGGGAUUUGUCAUCUACAGUGAUGCUUCGGGCAAAGGGUUAGGAUGUGUUCUCAUGCAACAUGGGAAAGUCAUAGCCUAUGCCUCUCAACAAAUCAAAGAAUAUGAGAGGAAUUAUCCUACUCAUGAUCUAGAGUUGGCAGCAGUCGUUUUUGCACUAAAGAUUUGGAGGCAUUACUUAUAUUGGGAAAAAGUGGAGAUCUUUACGGAUCAUAAAAGCCUCAAAUAUUUCUUCACUCAAAAGGAACUCAAUAUGCGACAGCGACGUUGGCUUUAACUGAUGAAAGAUUAUGAUCAUACCAUCCAAUACCAUCAUGAAAAAGCGAACGUGGUAGCUGACGCAUUGAGUAGAAGAUCAUAUGUGGGUACGAGUGCGAUAUUGUCAAUGCAAAGGCCCAUUUUGUAUGACUUGAAAAGGAUGGAGAUAGAGAUAAAGACUCCAGGGACCCACGUGAUGAUGGUGAAUAUACGAGUAGAACCGACUUUAAUCGAUAAAGUUAAAGCUGCUCAAGCUACAGAUCUGGAGCUGAUGCAUAUGAGGAAGAAAGUACAAGAAGGUGUUAUGCCAGAAGCAAGAAUCGAUGAAGAAGGAAUACUUCGAGUCAACUCCAGACUUUGUAUUCCUAACGACCCUGAGUUAAAGUAUAAAAUCAUGAUGGAGGCGCACAACACACCGUUUACAAUCCAUCCUGGGAGUGCCAAAAUGUAUCAUGAUCUUCGACAUACAUUUUGGUGGGGCAAUAUGAAGAGAGAGAUAACGUUGUUUAUCUCAAGGUGUUUAACUUAUCAACGAGUCAAGGUAGAGCAUCAAGUACCAAAAGGUCCAUUGCAACCACUUAAAAUUCCAGAAUGGAAGUGGGAGCACAUUACCAUGGAUUUUGUUACUAGUCUUGCCAAGGUUUCUCAAGGCAUAGAUGCAGUUUGGGUCAUUGUUGAUAGAUUGACCAAGUCUGCUCAUUUCUUACCUAUACGAGAAACUUAUACACUUGAACGUCUUGCUCGUAUGUACAUAAACGAGGUUGUAAGAUUGCAUGGUAUGCCAGUAUCCAUAGUUUCUGAUCGAGACCCAAGAUUCACUUCACGAUUUUGGGUUAGUUUGCAAAAAGCUAUGGGCACGGAUUUACGAUUUAGUUCGGCAUAUCAUCCUCAGACGGACGGACAAUCAGAGAGGACUAUUCAAACUCUUGAAGAUUUAUUAAGACUCUGUGUCCUUGACUUCAAGGGAAGUUGGGACAAGUUCUUGCUAUUGGUGGAGUUUUCCUACAACAACAGUUAUCAAGCAAGUAUUGGCAUGGCUCCAUUCGAAGCGUUGUAUGGAAGAAAGUGUCGUUCUCCAGUAUACUGGGAUGAGGUUGGUGAAGUAACGUUGUUGGGACCGGAGUUAGUACGUAUGACUACAUAAAAGAUUCAAAUGAUCCAGCAACGUAUAAAAACCUCAAAAGAUCGACAAAAGAGUUAUGCUGAUCUUCAUCGAAAAGACGUAGAAUUCGAUAUUGGAGAUCAUGUGUUGUUACGUGUUGCUCCAUGGAAAGGAGUUACGAGAUUUAGAAAGAGAGAAAAGCUCAAUCUUCGAUUCAUUGACCCAUUUUUAAUCCUCAAUCGAGUAGGAACUGUGGCGUAUAGACUCACUUUACCGCCAAGUAUGUCUCGUGUUCAUAACGUUUUUCAUAUAUCCAUGUUACGUAAAUAUGUGGAAGCCCCGAACCACCUUAUUGAGUUAGAAUUGGAAGAAAUAGCGGAAUAUUUAACGUAUGAAGAGGUUCCUGUUCAAAUCUUGGAUAAGAAGGAACAUAUUCUACGCUUCAAGGUUAUACCUCAAGUCAAAGUUUUGUGGAGAAACCACGAUGUUGAGGAAAUGACCUGGGAGUUAGAAUCUGAAAUGAAAUCAAGGUAUCCUUAACUCUUCGACAUACCAGGUUUGUACCCUAAUUUCGAGGGAAAAAUUUCAUAAGAAGGGGAGGUUGUAAGACCCCAACUUUUUUUGAUAAAGAUGAUUUUUCUAUAAAUAUCAUUUUUAAAUAUUAUGGAAUGAAUUUGAUAUAAUGUUAUAGUUGUGGAUAAUAUUUAUAAAUUUUUCAAAGUACGCAAGUUGUUAUAUAAUAUUCGAUUGGUUGGGGAAUAUUCUUUUUAACAGGGAAUAUUCGUACGACGACACAAUCAUUGGUGGACCUCACAACAUAAUUAUUGUCGGAUUGAGAAAACGACAAAAAUAUUUUAUGAAAAUAACGGCGAAAGUUUUACCGUUAACUGUUGAAACACCCGGUGUUAAAAGUACAAGAAUACGCGUGGUCGCAUAAUAGCACACGGUAUUGAUUAUUGAUGUUUACGUGAGAAGUCACUCAGUUUUGUUCAAUUAUUACUUCAGUAAUUGUUGCAUAGUAUCUCACGUUAUUUGAUUCAAUUAUUGUUGAUAUUUUAAAUAUUAUUAAAUCAAUAAUUGAGAUGAUAGAGUUAUUAAUAUUAUUAUUUACAAUAUUAAUGAUGUCUAGAAGUUCUGCCAAUGAGAGGUUUGGUCACCUAAUUGCGCGCCAAUAGGGAGAAAUCCUUAUUGGAAAGCCCCCUCUUUCCUAGAAAUGACAUGGUCGAUUAAUAUUGUGAAUUAUAAUAAUGAUGAUAAAUGUUGUUAAAAAUAUUGAGGUAAUUUUUAUGAAAUUUUCCUUAUUUUAUGGACCCCCCAUUUACCAAUUUUUCAAAAUAUUCGGUAAAAAGUUAUCUCAGAUAUAUAUAUAUAUAUAUAUAUAUAUAUAUAAAGGUGUAGGGUUUAUAUUAUAUAUUGUGGGCCCAAGUGCAAAAUUAGGGUUCACAUGACCUAAUUGAAUUAAAUACACAAUUAAGGUUCUACGACCUCAUUAAGUGUGCAAAUUAGGGUUUGUAUAACCUAAUCGAAUGAGGGCGAAAAAGUCAGAAAUAAAUGUGUUAGACCCGGGAGAAGCCUCCAUGUGUCCCGAGGCAGAAGACUCGUGGAGGCGGCUCGUUUUGGGAAUUGAUUGAGGGAUUGGAUUGGUGGCUAGAAGGACAGGGCAAUAUGGGCAUUAUUCUAAUGACUAAAGGAUAUUUCUGGAAUUUUCCUUAAAGCAUGUGCCUNNNNNNNNNNNNNNNNNNNNNNNNNNNNNNNNNNNNNNNNNNNNNNNNNNNNNNNNNNNNNNNNNNNNNNNNNNNNNNNNNNNNNNNNNNNNNNNNNNNNCACGGGUGGUUAAAGUUUUUCUUUUCAAGCAUGUGUUAUAUAAUACAUUUAUAUAUUAUAUUUCUUUAGUUUUGUUUUAUUAAAGAAUUUAAUCGGCAAAUGAAUUCCUUGACUUACAUUUUGAAUCCGUGAGUUUUUUUCUUCUUCACAGUACUCCUUCCAUUCUCCUAUAAAUAAGAUGCUUAGUUAGAAUUGAAAUCACACCAGAAAUUUAGAGAAUUCUCUUUUACAAUCUUGAGCGUAUUUCUUUAGAGUUUUAAAAAGCUUUAAGCGUAAUGCAAGUUUUCUUCAAGAAUAUCCUCACUCUACCAGUCGGAAUACUCUUCUUUUACGGUAAAGGGUAAAAUUUCUUUCAUAUUCAUGAAGAGAACUCUGUUAUUCCAUUCUUUAUUAUUCUGUUGGAAUAACCUGUAUACGCGGACUACCCUAUACUUGGUGAAAUUCUUCUGUUAUUCCAUUCUUUAUUAUUAUGUUAGAAUAACCUGUAUAUGCGAAGUACCGCACACAUGGUGAAAUUUUUCUGUUAUUCCAUUCUUUAUUAUUCUGUUGGAACAUCCUAUCUGUGCGUUUACGCAUAACCUGGUUCCGUUAUUUAUUAUUCUGUUGGAACAUCCUGUCGGUGCGAAUUUCGCCUGACCUGGUUCCGUUAUUUAUUAUUCUGUUGGAA